Molecule: transfer RNA, 75 nt
Filed under: Candidatus Woykebacteria bacterium GWA1_44_8
Lineage: Bacteria; Candidatus Woykeibacteriota
Also listed under: 1 other name
Description: tRNA-His
Rfam family: tRNA
About the family: Transfer RNA (tRNA) molecules are approximately 80 nucleotides in length. Their secondary structure includes four short double-helical elements and three loops (D, anti-codon, and T loops). Further hydrogen bonds mediate the characteristic L-shaped molecular structure. tRNAs have two regions of fundamental functional importance: the anti-codon, which is responsible for specific mRNA codon recognition, and the 3' end, to which the tRNAs corresponding amino acid is attached (by aminoacyl-tRNA synthetases). tRNAs cope with the degeneracy of the genetic code in two manners: having more than one tRNA (with a specific anti-codon) for a particular amino acid; and 'wobble' base-pairing, i.e. permitting non-standard base-pairing at the 3rd anti-codon position.
Source: RNAcentral
GAGGUCGUAGCUCAACGGCAGAGCGGAUGGUUGUGGACCAUCAGGUUGUGGGUUCAAAUCCCAUCGGCCUCCCCA